CCUACGGGUGGCAGCAGUGGGGAAUAUUGGGCAAUGGAGGAAACUCUUACCCAGCAAUGCCGCGUGAGCGAAGAAGGUCUUCGGAUUGUAAAGCUCUUUGAUUGGGGACGAAGUAAGUGACGGUACCCAAGGAACAAGCCCCGGCUAACUAUGUGCCAGCAGCCGCGGUAAUACAUAGGGGGCGAGCGUUGUCCGGAAUUACUGGGUGUAAAGGGCGUGUAGGCGGGGAUGCAAGUCAGAUGUGAAAUUCCGGGGCUCAACCUCGGCACUGCAUCUGAAACUGUGUCUCUUGAGUGCUGGAGAGGAAAGUGGAAUUCCUAGUGUAGCGGUGAAAUGCGUAGAGAUUAGGAGGAACACCAGUGGCGAAGGCGGCUUUCUGGACGAUAACUGACGCUGAGGCGCGAAAGCGUGGGGAGCAAACAGGAUUAGAUACCCUUGUAGUC
RNAcentral lists this ribosomal RNA (443 nucleotides) under uncultured bacterium. Its description in RNAcentral is "bacterial SSU rRNA". It matches the Rfam family "Bacterial small subunit ribosomal RNA", at positions 338 to 795 of the family's 1533-position model. The record is from RNAcentral.